RNAcentral lists this ribosomal RNA (460 nucleotides) under uncultured bacterium. RNAcentral describes it as "partial 16S ribosomal RNA". It matches the Rfam family "Bacterial small subunit ribosomal RNA", at positions 338 to 795 of the family's 1533-position model. The record is from RNAcentral.
CCUACGUGAGGCUGCAGUGAGGAAUAUUGGUCAAUGGGCGCGAGCCUGAACCAGCCAAGUAGCGUGAAGGCUGACUGCCCUACGGGUUGUAAACUUCUUUUAUAAAGGAAUAAAGUGAGGCACGUGUGCCUUUUUGUAUGUACUUUAUGAAUAAGGAUCGGCUAACUCCGUGCCAGCAGCCGCGGUAAUACGGAGGAUCCGAUCGUUAUCCGGAUUUAUUGGGUUGAAAGGGAGCGUAGAUGGGUUGUUAAGUCAGUUGUGAAAGUUUGCGGCUCAACCGUAAAAUUGCAAUUGAUACUGGCAGUCUUGAGUACAGUUGAGGUAGGCGGAAUUCGUGGUGUAGCGGUGAAAUGCUUAGAUAUCACGAAGAACUCCGAUUGCGAAGGCAGCUUACUAAACUGCCACUGACAUUGAUGCUCGAAAGUGUGGGUAUCAAACAGGAUUAGAUACCCUGGUAGUC